Molecule: ribosomal RNA, 925 nt
Filed under: uncultured bacterium
Lineage: Bacteria
Description: bacterial SSU rRNA
Rfam family: Bacterial small subunit ribosomal RNA
Source: RNAcentral
AGAGUUUGAUCAUGGCUCAGAGUGAACGCUGGCGGCGUGCCUAACACAUGCAAGUCGAGCGGGGUUACUGCCGUAGCAAUACGGCGUGUGCCCAGCGGCAGACGGGUGAGUAACACGUAGACAAUCUACCUUCCAGAGGGGGAUAGCUCGCCGAAAGGCGAGGUAAUACCGCGUACGAUCAGGACCCGGCAUCGGGAUCUGAUGGAACGUCCGCAAGGACGGCUGGAAGAGGGGUCUGCGUCCUAUCAGCUAGUUGGCGGGGUAACGGCCCACCAAGGCAACGACGGGUAUCCGACCUGAAAGGGUGACCGGACACACUGACACUGAGACACGGGUCAGACUCCUACGGGAGGCAGCAGUGAGGAAUUUUGGACAAUGGGGGAAACCCUGAUCCAGCGACGCCGCGUGAGGGAUGACGGUCUUCGGAUUGUAAACCUCUUUUGCCUGGGAAUAACCGCCCCGUAGAAAUACGGGGAAUGAAUGUACCAGGCGAAUAAGCCACGGCUAACUUCGUGCCAGCAGCCGCGGUAAUACGAAGGUGGCAAGCGUUACUCGGAAUUACUAGGCGUAAAGGGCAGGUAGGCGGUUUGGUUAGUCUGUUGUGAAAGCUCCCUGCUUAACGGGGAGAGGCCAACAGAUACUGCCAGGCUUGAGUAUGGGAGAGGGUACUGGAAUUCCCGGUGUAGCGGUGAAAUGCGCAGAGAUCGGGAGGAACACCGAUGGCGAAAGCAGGUACCUGGACCAUUACUGACGCUCAGCUGCGAAAGCUAGGGGAGCAAACAGGAUUAGAUACCCUGGUAGUCCUAGCCGUAAACGAUGCACAUUAGGCGUGAGGGGUAUCGACCCCCUUCGUGCCGAAGCAAACGCAUUAAAUGUGCCGCCUGGGGAGUACGGCCGCAAGGUUGAAACUCAAAUGAAUUGACGG